RNAcentral lists this long non-coding RNA (826 nucleotides) under Salmo salar (Atlantic salmon). RNAcentral's name for it is "lncRNA (ENSSSAG00000104208.1)". The record is from RNAcentral. Lineage: Eukaryota; Metazoa; Chordata; Actinopteri; Salmoniformes; Salmonidae.
CCCCUAUUCCCCUCAUAGUGCACUACGGCAACACAGAGGGGUGCGCAUCCCAAAUUACCCCCUAUUCCCCUCAUAGUGCACUACUUCUAACCAGAGCCCAAUGGGUAGGUAGAGCACUAGAAAGGAAAGAGGAAGCCAUUUUGGGACAGUGUAGUAGUAAUAAUUACUGAUUCCUGAAGGACAUUUCAUCUCUUUAGUCUCUAACAGAAGUUGCCAGUUUGGAGACAUUUCAUCUCUUUAGUCUCUAACAGAAGUUGCCAGUUUGGAGACAUUUCAUCUCUUUAGUCUCUAACAGAAGUUGCCAGUUUGGAGACAUUUCAUCUCUUUAGUCUCUAACAGAAGUUGCCAGUUUGGAGAGAAAAUACACAUUAUAGACUCAGACUAUUUACAACAUGAAGCAUACAUGUAUAUACACAGGAUAAUAUACCACUGGCAAGCUGAGGGAGAAUUCUUUCUCUGCAGGGUUCAGACUGUAGACUGGUGGGGUCAUGGGGUCAGGGUCUAGACUGUAGACUGGUGGGGUCAGGGUCUAGACUGUAGACUGGUGGGGUCAUGGGGUCAGGGUCUAGACUGUAGACUGGUGGGGUCAUGGGGUCAGGGUUCAGACUGGUGGGGUCAUGGGGUCAGGGUCUAGACUGUAGACUGGUGGGGUCAGGAUCUAGACUGUAGACUGGUGGGGUCAGGGUCUAGACUGUAGACUGGUGGGGUCAGGGGGUCAGGGUCUAGACUGUAGACUGGUGGGGUCAGGAUCUAGACUGUAGACUGGUGGGGUCAGAUAGGGGUCAGGGUCUAGACUGUAGACUGGUGGGGUCAGCUAGGGGUCAGG